AUGCUUGGACUUCCCAGUGAAGUUCCCUAGACACGACAGUGCGCUGUUCUUUGGCUCUUUACUUUCUCAUUCCUCAGCCUGGAGGCCUUUCUUUAACUUCUCAUUGCUAAGGUCUGUUUAUCCUCCAGAUAGCCUUCUUAGGCCACCUAUAAUAUCCUCAUAUGGUGGUCUCUUCCUUUCUUUUCCUCUCCUGGUUCAUAUUUGGGCCAGAGUGACCUCUGGCAUUUACCUCCAACUAACUUUGAGGUGCAGGACCCCACAAGCCAUCAUUUAUCCUUUGGCAAAUAUAGCAGCAGUUAGCCAGCCUGUCUGUCACUUUUAGGAUUCUUUGGGGGAUAGAGAUCAGACUCCCAUGCCUGCCAAAUGCAGGGGACAAAUAUCCUGUUCUUCAGGUGGCACUGCCGGAACCCUUCUGCCUUGAGUAACAUAAAGAAGAGGAAAGAAGAUCAAAGAAUUAUGAAACAAAUGAGAUGCUUGUAAACUUCAUUAGUUAUAUGAAACCACAAAGGGGCAUUUAAUAAACUAUUCCUCUCAAAAA
This is a non-coding RNA of Homo sapiens (human), 538 nucleotides long. NCBI's taxonomy places the organism in Eukaryota, Metazoa, Chordata, Mammalia, Primates, Hominidae. The record is from RefSeq and is a predicted model, not a curated record.